GCCUAUACAAGGACUUUGCUGUUGCUAUCCUGUCUCAUAGUCAUGCAGAUCCCUGGCAACACACAGCUCACCAGCAGUAGGCGAUAUCACCGGAAAAGCUAUUCAUAUAAGUGGCAGUGGACCCUGAAGGAGGCUUUAGCAGGCAGCGCGUGGGUAAUACAGAUAGACAGGAUCUCGUGUUGCGGACAGAAGACAUCUGGCCACCGGAAGACAAGGGAUACACUGACCGUUGGAAAGAAGUCACCAGAGAGAGAGCCGAAGACAGAAUGACAUCCACUGCACACACAGUGCUUCUCUAGGAAUGGAUUUUGUG
Pseudophryne corroboree (corroboree frog) is the source of this 313-nucleotide long non-coding RNA. RefSeq lists it as uncharacterized. Lineage: Eukaryota; Metazoa; Chordata; Amphibia; Anura; Myobatrachidae. The record is from RefSeq and is a predicted model, not a curated record. The transcript is spliced from 2 exons.